AUUGUUUAUCCCACGCCGGUUCCGCCCGGCAACGCCGCUUUUCACGACGGAGCCACGCUCUUUCAGUAAACGCACGAUACCUAGCGGACCGCAUGUUUGGAGUCUGGCUACCGGCCGAUCACGAAUCCCUUCACGAUAAGUUGAAAGGUUGUCGCGUGUAGGCCGGCUUAUGGGAUUUCGAACGUCGGAAAAGCCUCCAAGUUUUCUUUCCAGACGGGACGGCAACGUCGGACCAGAUACUUCCCAGGUCGAAAAGGGUGCCGAGAACCAGUCCAACCCUUUCUUCCAUCCCGCGCUCCGCGCACUGGGACGGGGAAAAAAGACGAAAGGAACGAAAAAAUCAAAAUAAAACCUCGACAGGCCCUCAUCACCUUUCCUGGAGCUUUAUCCGACCAGGCAUCAACCACGAUUUGAGGAAAAUUUUGGAUUAAAUUAGUCGAGGUGGUAUUUGACCCAUUUUCUUCGGUUAAACAGUCGUACAGUUUUGGCAUCCAGAACUCCAGAAUCUUGUAGUACUUUGAGAAUUCACGCUCGUGGACGGAACAUACAAAUUAAAUUUCUGGUUAUGAAUUGGUAAUAUCACAUUUUAAAGUACAAUUAUCCUUAUGUCUACGAACAGGAAAAAGUGUAAUAAAAGUGGUAUGUAUACAUGGUACAGUGCGCAUCAUUUAGUGGAUAAAACUAUUCCCAGAAUUUUCCCAGUACUUGAGGUUGUCAACCAUUGCAAUGGCCUUUUUUUGGGCAGCAAAAGCAUAUUUGCCCGAAGCCAAUUGACCUCAACCAAUAACCCAUACGUUAUAUGUGAAUAAAUAAAAGCAUAAAAAACA
This is a long non-coding RNA of Cimex lectularius (bed bug), 827 nucleotides long. RefSeq lists it as uncharacterized. The transcript is spliced from 3 exons. The record is from RefSeq and is a predicted model, not a curated record. Lineage: Eukaryota; Metazoa; Arthropoda; Insecta; Hemiptera; Cimicidae.